RNAcentral lists this long non-coding RNA (7122 nucleotides) under Sus scrofa (pig). RNAcentral describes it as "lncRNA (ENSSSCG00000054861.1)". The record is from RNAcentral. Lineage: Eukaryota; Metazoa; Chordata; Mammalia; Artiodactyla; Suidae.
AUGGCAUAUGAAGUUCCCAGGUUAGGGGUCAAAUUGGAGCUGUAACUGCCAGCCACAGCCACAGCAAUGGCAGAUCUGAUCUGUGUCUUUGAUCUACAUCACAGCUCAUGGCAAUAGCGGAUCUUUAACCCACUGAGCAAGGCUGGGGAUCAAACCCAUGUCCUCAUGGAUCCUACUCAGGUUCAUUACUGCUGAGCCACAAUGGGAACUCCUCCUCCUGCAGACAUUCUAUCCCUCCUUUUCUAGCCCCUCCAAAGCCUUUAAAAUACAGGAUUUUUUGAUAGGAUUCUCACUCUUGUCCUCAAUAUUCUGCUUAUUCAAUUAACCAAAUGAAUUAUAUGGCCUAUUUCAUCGUAUCCCCUUAUUUGAGCACUUCUGACUUGUCUGUAAUAUUAGACCCAGAAUUUCAGUGUCUACUCAUUAUGUCUCCUCUAUACCAUCUCAGACUCUCCCUAGGCUUCUCACUUUUCCUUAUACUCUCGUAUCUUUUACUGAUUCUGGUUCCAAGAUCUCCAAUUCCAUCUUCUGGUCUCUAAACAACUAUGUACCCAUUAUGUAAAGGACAACUCAAGUUUCAGUCUUCUUCUUUCUGCAUUAGCAGCCCUUGUUGAUUUUGCCCUUCUCUGAAUCUGUAUCAUUUAGAUUAUUUCUCUGUGUCUGGAAAACUAUUUAAACAAAAUACUUAUUAGUAAUACCCAGUACCUAAACAAAAGUAGUUUAUAAUCUGUAAGUUUUUAAGUAAAGCACCAGUUUUUCAUCAUUCCCAGGAAAAGAUUGGAUUUCAAUUUAUGCCCACUUUUAGAAAGAUAAAUUGAUAAAAUACUAAUGGAUUGUGAUCAGUGUAAUUCACAGCCUCAACUUAUUUAUAUGAAAUUGAAAUAUUGAGGUUUGAACUUCUUAAAUAAUCCAACAAACCCAUCUUUCUUAAGUUUCACGUUUCGUUUUCACAAUACAUUCUCAGCAGUUAUUUUUCUCAUUCAGCCCAAAUUGGAAUGGCAGCCAAAUGGCCAAAUAAGACAGGGAUUUUUGAGUAAUUAAAAAAAUUAGUAUUUCCCAGCCUGGAUUGUGAUCAAUGUAGUGAAUCAUCAGUGGCUGCCUACAUCGUAACCUUGGACCACCUCACAAUUCAUGGGCACUUGCAUCGUGAUCACCAACUUUAUUGUCAAUGCUUGAAAAUCAAUUAGACUCAAAAAAAGGUAUCUAGAUCUUUAAGAUUUUAUUAAUAUACUUAACAUUUAGAACUAUAACAUUUAUUGCGUUGAAAAUUUAAUAACAUUAUCAUCAUCAUGAUAAUCCGCUAAUAUUUACUGUUCAUUCACCAUAUUCCAGGCAUUGUUCUAAAUGCUUACUUUACUAUUUCAUGCACUCAUCAUAAUAGCCCUAUGACUUAGGUAUUGUUAUUAUUGUAUUUAUCAUCCCCAUUUUAAAGGUUAGGAUUCUGAAGUAGGAGGAUGUUAAGUAAAUUGCCUGAGGACACAUAGCAAAUAAUGGCAGAGUUGGGAUUCAAAAUCAGAUAGUUUAGUAUAUGGAUUGAAGAACCUUAAUAACUUUGGCAGAAUUCACAAUAAAUAUCCUUAGUCAUCAUUGGCUUAAAAUUCUAUUAUAUUAAUCAUUACUUAUCAUAGUCUUUAUCUCUUAAUACUCAUCUUUGCCUUUGUCUUACCUGGGAAAAAUUGGAGCCAGACAUUUAUCUUACAUAGUUUAUUGAGUUGCCCAAAUAGCCUAAACAUUUAUUUUUGCUGGGUAAUAAAGCUAUAAUUAAUGCUUAAAUUAGGUUCAUUAAAGCAGAGGAAAGUAAUAAUCAUUUUUAGAACUUUUAUUUUACUAAGGAUAAAUAAGAGUUAAAAUUUCUGAGACUAUACAAAUGUGGGCUGAAUUUUAUAACAUACCAAAAUUUAUUUCUUGGUUACUUCAUGCCCGUAUUAUUCUUUUUUUUUCAUUUUUUUAUUACUCAAAUGAAUUUAUCACAUCUGUAGUUGUAUAAUGAUCAUCACAAUCCAAUUUCACAGGAUUUCCAUCCCACAGCCCAGGAACAUCCCCCCACCCCCCAAACUGUCUCCUCUGGAGACCAUAAGUUUUUCAAUGUCUGUGAGUCAGCAUCUGUUCUGCAAAGAAAUUCAGUCUGUCCUUUUUUCAGAUUCCACAUGUCAGUGAAAGCAUUUGAUGCUGGUAUCUCAUUGUAUGGCUGACUUCACUUAGCAUGAUAGUUUCUGGGUCCAUCCAUGUUGCUAAAAAUACUGGUAUUUCGUUCUUUUUGAUGGCUGAGUAAUAUUCCAUUGUGUAUAUGUACCCCCUCUUUUUGAUCCACUCCUCUGUGGAUGGACAUUUAGGUUGUUUCCAUGUCUUGGCUAUUGCAAAUAGUGCUGCAAUGAACAUUGGAGUACAUGUGUCUUUGCGAGUGGUGGUUUUCUCUGGAUAGAUGCCCAGGAGUGGGAUUGCUGGAUCAAAUGGUAGUUCUAUGUUUAGUUUUUUGAGGAAUCUUCAUACUGUUUUCCGCAGUUUUUGCACCAAUUUACAUUCCCACCAACAGUGUACUAGGGUUCCUUUUUCUCCACACCCUCUCCAGCACUUAUUUUUUGUAGACUUUUGGAUGAUGGCCAUUCUGGCCAUGCCGGUAUUAUUCUCAUAGGUCAGUUAUAAGUCUCUGCUAACUGCCAUAAUCAGGUAAAGGAAUGCAAUUUAUACUGUAUACUAUGAAGCAGCCAUACAUUCAAAUUUGGCUCCAUUCUACAUCCUUGUAGGGAAUUGAAUAGAAUAUGAGCUAUUUAAGGUAAAUCACUUGGUAGUUUCAAUUUCUGAUCAGGAUUCAUUUGCUUAAAUUACACUGGAAUCUAGUAAAAAAUUAGAAGGUCGUAGGAUUUUGAUGACCUUCAAACAAAAACACAAAAAUGAUAGUUGAUGAACAUAGCACUACUUACUCAUGCUACUCUUUAUUUGUAAAGUUAAAAGCAAAAAUCAAAAAUGGUGAACUAAUUUUGCUAUCUUUUGUGAUCCUACUUGCCUUACUACCAUAAUACAUAUAUCAUCUGAUAUUUUUAAAAUUUAAAUGGCACUUCAAAUUUUCUGGAUAAACCUAGUUUAAAUGACAAAUGAAAAAAUAAGCAACCAUGAGCAAAUUUUUUGUGUGUGUGUGAAACAAUUAAGUGUCUCUAUCCUUAAAAAGAAAUUGGUUUGGAUUCCAAUUCUCCAUGACAAAUGGAACACACCCAUCUGCUGUUCCUCCCUCCUGAAUUCCACUGCAGUGAGCAUGAAUAUGCACCAAAGGAAACAAAUCCAUAAUAGAUAUAAGAAAAGGAAGAGGAGUUCCCGUCGUGGCACAGUGGUUAAUGAAUCCGACUAGGAACCAUGAGGUUGCGGGUUUGGUCCCUGGCCUUGCUCAGUGGAUUAAAGGAUCCAGCGUUGCUGUGAGCUGUGGUGUAGGUUGCAGACACGGCUCGGAUCCUGAGUUGCUGUGGCUGUGGUGUAGGCUGGCCGCUGCAGCUCCGAUUAGACCCCUAACCUGAGAACCUCCAUAUGCCGCGGGAGCAGCCCAAGAAAUGGCAAAAAGACAAAAAAAAAAAAAGAGAGAGAGAGAGAGAGAAGGAAGAGUAUGAUGUCAGUGGACUUUGGUGGCAUAAGGCAAAUAAGAGAGAUGUUUCUUUUAUGAGCAGAAAUGAAAACCAAUUUGUAUCCUGGAGUGACAAUAAAGAAUCAGCAGGUGUGAGGAGUAGGAUCAUGUUGUAGGACAGUGAUGAAUUAUUAUUUCAAAAACUGUAUACUGAACUGCAGUGUCCUGCAUGUAGUCUGUCACCUCCAUCCUUGUAGGUAUAGAGAGUGGGCAAAUGUGGCCAUAAAUAAAGUGUAAUUAACAGACAGACAGUUUAAAGAUGGUUGGACAGGGGUGGGAUCAAGAUGGCAGAGGAAUAAGAUGAGCCACUCACCUUUUCCCACAGACACCUCAAAAAAAACUACAUGUAGAACAAUUAGCACAGAACAUCUACUUAACAUGGCAGAAGACCUCCAAUCUCCAAAAAGGGUAAGAAAACCUCUGCAUAACUAGGUAGAACAAAAGGAAAAAAAUGAGAGAGAGAGAGAAAAGGAAUCAGGACAGGGUCAGCACUCCUGAGAGGGAGCUGUGAAAUAGGAAAGGAAGCUGCACCUGGGAAACCACCUAACUGAUGGGGAAAUCAGCUGAGAUGGAAGGACCACAAAGCCUCUGAGAAAAGUGCAGCAGCUGAACUGAGGAGGGCAAAGCAGAGAGAGAGCCUCACAAACCAUGAACUCCACAGCCAGAAAUGCUUGGACAGGGGCUGGGUGCUGAGACUCAGGCUCGAGUUCAGUUCCAGGGAGAGGACUAGGGUUUGUUAUGUGGAGACAGCCUGAGGGGUUAGGGAGUGGUGCACCUUGGGUUGGGGAGCAGAGCACGACAGCUGAGGGAGCAUAGGAGGAGGCCUGGGCCCACAGGAGAAGCAAGGCACCAUUGCUGGGGAGGAUGAGAGAAGGGAGAGACCUCCAAAGGAAUAUCUUUCUCUGCACAUGCUUGGGCUCUCAGUGGCAGGAGUUUCUUGUGCCAGGGUAGCCUCUUUCACAGGCUACAGGCAGUAGGGUGCCUCUCAUGUGGGAUACAGGUGGUGGGGAUAAACCUGAACAGGCACCACCUGCAGCUAGUCACCUCGAGGAUCAGCAUAGAGGAUGGCACUGCAACUGAGGGCCACCCAUUGUUGCUCUCACUCCCCUGAGAAUGCACACACCCUGCUGCUGCCACUGCCAAACUCUCCAGGUGCCACCUACACAUGCCUGAGGGUCACUACCACUUCCCACGGCCCUGCAACCAGGAGCAGCCUGCACCACCUUCCUGUGGGUCCUCACUGCUGUCAAGGGCCCAGCAAUGAGGCACUGGUGACAGCCCUGCCUAUUGCAUCCAUCUCCCUGGCAGCAUGUGCAGGCCAUACACCAGCACAAGGAGAGCAGCCUGCGUGUAAUGAGGGAAGAGUCAGUAAGCACUGAAACCAAAAGCAGCCCUCAUGCCAAAGGAAAAAAAAAAGUAAUCCCUCACAAAAUACCCAGGAACACUCUCACAUAUAAAUAGCCCUCCAAAACUACAGUAGUUGUUUUCCAUAAAUUAAAAAAAUAAGAAAAAUAAAAGCAAAAUGAAGAGGUUCAGGAACCAUUCCCAGUUAAAAGAACAGGAGAAUUCCCUUGAAGAAGCAAACGAUGAAACAGAUCUCUGCAGUCUGUCACCAAGUUCAAAAAGGAGACUGUGAAAAUACUGAAAGAAUUAAGGGCAAGUAUAAAGGAAUUAAGAGUAGAAAUGAACAGUAAUGCAGAUAGGAACUAGAAAAUAUGAGGAGGAGCCAAGAAAAAUUAGAAAAUUCAUUUGCAGAAAUCCGAACUGAAUUAAAGGCAUUGAAGAGCAGAAAGAAUGAUGCAGAGGAAUGAAUAAGUGACUUGGAAGAUAGAAUAAUGAAAAUCACCCAAUCAGGACAGCAGACAGAAAAUCAAAUGAAAAAAACUUGAAAGCUAUGUAAGAGACUAUGGGCUAACAUAAAGCAGGCCAAUCUACACAUAAUAGGGAUUCCAGAAGGAGAAGAAAAAGAAAAAGGGAUCAAAAAUAUAUUUGAAAAAAAAUUAUAGCUAAAAACUUUCCAAGUCUAAAGAAAACAGAUAUUGAGGUUCAAGAAGAACAGAGGGCCCCAAAGUAGUUGAAUCCAAACAGGCCCAUAUCAAGAAAGACAUAUUAUAAUAAAAAUGGCAAAAGUUAAAGAAAAGAUUCUAAAGGCAGCAAGAGCAAAACAAAGACAAUUAUAAUGGAAGCUAUCAGUUGAUUUCUCUACAGAAGCACUACAGGCCAUAAGAGAGUGGCAAGAUAUAUUCAAAGUUCUAAAAGGGAAAUUUUUUCAGCCUAGAAUACUCUACCCAGCAAGAAUAUCAUUUAAUGUAGGAGAAAUAAAGAAUUUCUCCAAGAAAUAAAAACUAAAAGAAUACAACAAUACUAAACUCAUUCUAAAAGAAAUACUGAAAGGUCUCUUGUAAAUAGGAAAGAAGUAAGAAGAUAUAGGACAGAGGAAAUCACAAUUGGAAAGUAAUCACUUAAAUAAGCCAGUAUACAGAUCUAAAAGGAAAAAUAUAAACUAUUUGUAAAAGCAACAAUAAACACAAGGAACAGCAAAAGGAUGAACAUGAAUACGUUAAAAACAGGACAUCAAAUAAUAAAAUGUGGGGAAUGAAAAUAAGAAAAUCUUGACACUUUUUUUUUUAAGAAUGUGUUUGAGCCUAUAUUUCUCUCAGGCUAAAGCAAGCAGACAUAGAAAGGGGUUAACAUACUUGAAAAACAGGACAACCACAAAUCAAAACCAAACAGUACAUUCACAAAAACUACAAAGAAGAAGACACAAGCACAAAAUAAAAGGAAAUCAUCCAAUUAAAAAAAAAAGGGAACAAAGGAGAAACAGAAUAAACUGGAAAACAAGGUUUAAAAUAGCAAUAAAUACAUAUUUAUCAAUAAUCACCAUAAAUGUCAGCGGACGAAUGCUCUAAUCAAAAGACAUAGAGUGGCAGGCUGGAUCAAAAAAGAAGAGGCUGCAAUACACUGCCUACAAGAAACUCACAUCAGGACAAAGGACACAUAUAGAUUGAGAGUGAGGGUAUGGGAAAGGUAUUUGAUGCCAGGGGACAAGACAGGAAAGCAGGAAUUGCAAUACUCAUAUCAGACAAAAUAGACUUUAAAACAAAGCUAUAAAGAAAGACAAAGAAGGACAUUAUUUAAUGAUAUAAGGAUUAAUUCAAGAAAAGGAUAUUAUGAUCAUUUAUAUAUAUAUAAAUGAUCCCUAAUAUAGGAUCCCUAAUAUAGGAUCACCCAAAUACCUAUAACAAAUACUAACAGUCAUAAAAGGAUAAAUUAAUGGGAAUACAGUAAUUGUAGGAAAUUUAAACUGUAUUCACAUCAAUGGACAGAUCCCCUAGAUAGAAAGUCAAUAAGGCAACAGAGAUCCUAAAUGACACAAUAAAAAAGUAGACUUAAUUGACAUUUUUGGGACAUUACAUCCAAAAAAAUCAGAAUGUAUCUUUUCAGGUGCACAUGGAACAUUCUCAAGGAUUGACCACAUACUGGGCACCAAACUAACCUCAACAAAUUUAAGACCA